Heterocephalus glaber (naked mole-rat) is the source of this 1363-nucleotide long non-coding RNA. The record is from Ensembl. NCBI's taxonomy places the organism in Eukaryota, Metazoa, Chordata, Mammalia, Rodentia, Bathyergidae.
GGGAGGGGAGGGGGGGAGGGGAGGGCUGCGUGUGGGUGGUGUAAUGUGUGCGCCUGGGGGAGCGCGGGAGGGGCUGAAGGAGAGGAACCGCACUUCACACCCUGCAGUUCACACCGCCUCUGCACACCUUUGCUGCCUUAUUGCACAACCUGAAACCACACUGCACAGAGGUGUCGGGGAGCGCCCUACAUACAAUCAGCCCUUGCACAACCUUGACCAGACCUCCCUCGGCCCUGUGCAUUCACUGGCAGUACAUGUGCUCGAUACUGUCCACAUGUUCUUAACAUCUGUGUCCAAAACACGUCUAUUCUCAACGAAGUGACGCAGCAGUAUUGGGUGCCACUGGAAUGGCGAGCCUGUCCUCCCCUCCCCUCCCCCAGGUGCCAGAACCCCACCGCCGCCGCCUAUAUGUCCCACCAUGAAGGGCUUUUCUCCUACUCCGACAGUGGUCGCAGCUGUCUAGGGUGUGCACAUCCUGCGGCCAAGUUAGGCCCAGUCUUCCAGGACCAGCUGCAUCCCUACCCCCUACACAACCCCGAAAGCUUCCUAGCAGUUCUGGACACAGCCAGGGUUGCCCUGGGCGUUGUGGGGCGGGGAUAGGGGCUCGAAAAAGAGAAUGUUCUCUCCUGAGUGUCCAAAACGUCCAGAAGCUUCCAGACUCACCAGAUGGACCUGUAAAAUUAUAAUCGAACACCAGAGUGACCUGAAGCUUGUGAAGGUGACCCCGUGUCUGGCUGUUUAGUGACACUUCUCCCAGAUCGUGUGGAGAGCCCAGUGGGCCCGGCCCGGUCCUCCUGCGCUCUGCCCGCUGCCUCUCGCCCCUCCCCCGCACCGCAUGGGCCGCGGCCACCGGAGGAGGAGGAAUGCGGAAGGCACUCCAGCAGCGUCCACUCCAGCCAGUUUAGACCCUCCUGCGAAGCGGGCUGACAGGAGCUACCUGGCGACUGUGCUCCUCCAGGCUUAGUGAUCUGAUCUACAGCUGGACUGCGCCUUGCACUCGCACGGUUCUCCCUGCCUCAGAUGAGCCAGGUUGUGACCCCUGUCAAGAGGAGCCCUGGGCCCCGAUGGCCAGUCGCCACCCGCAAGACCAGGACCGACCAGGCACUGUAAGCUCAGUUGCAAAGGAUGGUCCCUAAGUGUCCACACUUACGCUUAAUGUAAUUUUCUAGCAGUUUUGUGGACCAGAAAAGGUAAGGGGUCAACCACCUCGUGAUAAUGAAAGUGCUGCUUCCUGUGGAGGAGCUCAGUUCAUCAUAAAAGCCCCAAGAUCAAAAUAAAAUUGACCUGCACCUCAACAAUAGUACUUUUGUGCUGUGGAGAAGGGAGGGAAAUGGGUCACAUGCUACCAGGGGUAACUGUAUAG